AGAAGGCAAAAACGUCCGCGUGGAGGUGAGCGCAGCGGUGGCGUGUGCCCUAACGGCGUGGGCGUGGAGACGACGGCACCGUCCGCCUCGCCGUCUCAGGGCCAGCCGCAUCCGGUGGAGGCCGCUUCCGAGCCCCGGAGGCCAAUAAAAGCGGCCGCCCCCCCACAACCACCUCUUCCCUUUCUUCCACCUCCCACCCAACCCCCACCCCCGCCCCUGUCCUCGCGCCCCUGCUCCCCGCCCCGCCCGCGCUAAAUUGCCAAGCUUUCCCAAUGGAGGUGACCGUCGGGUAACCCGUCGUCCGUCCGCGUCCGCCAUGAGUCCUUGAUUUUUCCUAUUAUUAGGAGAUUCUCCGGGGCUCCGGAUUUGGCUGGGGGAGGAGUGAGGGGGAGGGGGAGGCUGGUCCAGAUUUGUGGGCGUGUUCCCGCGGGGGAACUGAUGGUGGGUUACAUGGAGUGGUCGCACGACUGGCUGCUGUGGGACGCCUUCUUGGAAUGCGGAGGGAUCCGGAGGCCGCCGAUUAGAUAGCGGCCGGGGAGGAGGAGGGAGGAGCGGAGGACCAGGAGGAGGAGGAGGCCGCCAUUAGCACCCACCCUGCCACCACCCCGACGCCCGACUCGCCACUCACCAGCCGGGCGCCCAUGGGGGAGGACCUCGUCACCACCCUCUCCAUGGAGAACGGCGGCGGCGGCGGGGGCCACCACGGCCUCUGCACCCUGCUCUCCAUGGACCCCUCCGGCCACCUCGACGACCGCGCCGUCGGCGUCAUGGUGCAGCCCCGCGCCGGAGGGGGCCGCCCCCACGCCCACGCCGUGUCCCUCUCCGGCGCCCCGCCGCCCGACAUCAACCAGCCGUGGCAGACGGAGCCCUGCGACAUGCUCGGCGUCGGCCUCGGCCCGCAGGUGUUCGACGCCGAGGCCGUGCUCAGCGCCGCGCCCAAGGCUGCCGCCGCCGGGAGCCGCAAGACCACCAAGCGCGGGGACAGCAUCUGGGGCGCCUGGUUCUUCUUCACCUUCUACUUCAAGCCCCUGCUGUCGGACAAGGCCAAGAGCAAGGUCGUCCGGGACGCCAACGGCGUGUCGGGGUUCGACAAGUCGGACCUCCGGCUCGACAUGUUCCUGGUGCAGCACGACAUGGAGAACAUGUACAUGUGGGUGUUCAAGGAGAGGCCGGACAACGCCCUCGGCAAGAUGCAGCUGCGGAGCUACAUGAAUGGGCACUCACGCCCCGGUGAGCCGCAUUUCCCUUUCAGUGUCGACAGGGGAUUUGUCCGGUCGCACCGGAUGCAGCGCAAGCACUACCGGGGGCUCUCCAACCCGCAGUGCAUCCAUGGGAUCGAGGUGGUGAGCUCGCCGAAUCUCGUGGGCAUCACCGAUGUCGACCGGAGGAGGUGGGCGGAGCUCACAGGGAGGGAGCUCAAUUUCUCCAUCCCACAGGAGGCCAGUGAUUUUGGGACAUGGAGGACCAUGCCAAGCUCAGAGCUUGAGCUGGAGAGGCCACACACACACACUGCCAUGAAGAGCAAUACUAAUAAUGUUCAGCAGCAGCCCCCCAAGAAGACGCUUAAUGGAUCUGGCUUGAAUUUGUCAUCACCAUCCAAUCAUUCAGGAGAGGACGGCAUGGAUCUCUCCCCUGUGAGCAGCAAGCGCCGGAAGGAGGCAUUCCCACAUGCCAUGGAUGAGGAGUGCUUCCUGCCUCUGAACCCUUGCAACGGGAGGACACAACAAGAUGUCGACAUGCAAUCAGCAGUGCAGCCUUCAUGGAUGCACGAGUUCACCGGGGUGAUGAGGAAAGCCUCCGGGCCGGCAACUGCUGCCAAGUCCAUUUACGAGGAUGACCAGGGCUACUUGAUAAUGGUCAGCUUACCAUUUGUCGAUCAGCAGAGGGUAAAGGUUUCAUGGAAGAACACCCCCACUCACGGCAUAGUUAAAAUCUUCUGUGUUAGCACGGCCCGGAUGCCAUACAUAAGGAGACAUGACAGGGUCUUCAAGCUCACCGACGCCAUGCCGGAGCACUGCCCUCCCGGGGAGUUCAUCCGCGAAAUACCUCUAGCCACCCGUAUCCCCGAAGACGCCAAGCUUGAGGCAUGCUUUGACGAGGCCGCUGCGGUUCUUGAGAUCAUGGUCCCCAAACGGGGGAACGAGCCGGAAGAACAUGAAGUCAGGGUCUCCAUGCGCCCUCCUCACCUGGGAGUGAACGACCUGCUUAUGACAUAGGUAAUGGAAGGCCUAUCUUUCUUGUCUGUGAUCACCAGAUCGUGGGUAUGCUCGAAGGGGCUACUGUUAGCAUCUUGUUCCGGGACUGUUACUGUUGAUUACUGUGCUAGGCCUCUUCAGCAACAAGCUUUUGCUCAAGAUUAGUUGGUUCUAGCUUGUAUGUGACGGGUGUCUUUUUAACCCUCGUGUUCUCUUCUCCUAGCGUCAUAUUGUGGGUGGCCUGUUUGUCCUUGAAUCUGUACCAAGUUCAGUUAACAGAAUAAAAUUUAUAAUUGGUGGGUUACUGCUCAAUUUUUGGAUCUUGAUUAGUAGCUCUUCUGUUAGCACAAGUCUGUACUUCUUCCCAAAUUUCCAAUGUUCUUUGCUGUCAAGAAAUUGAUUCAGUGCUUCAGCUUAUGGUGAUGAACUGUACGUGUCUGUAUCCAAGUCACAAUCAUCUUUCAUGUCCCAAUCAGCAUACACUAUACUGGAAUUGUUGAUGCAGCAGCAUUACUUUGGUUUCUGAAAAACAGAAACAUCAUCCCUUGCAUUAAACUUCCAUCUGGCUCCUUCUCACUGAAUCUCUUGCUCUUGAAACUGGAUUUUCACAACAGAAAAAUAAAGCUCCUCCGAACUGUGACAGAUUUGGCAUCCGGGAAGCCGGUGAGCACCUGGUUUUUCUAUGCCUCUUUUCUAUAGCUAUUUGGCAGUAGUAUCAAUCUUUUCUGGGUUCUAAAACUGAAUUCUCA
This 2944-nucleotide ribosomal RNA is filed under the name Triticum aestivum (bread wheat). Its description in RNAcentral is "partial small subunit ribosomal RNA". Lineage: Eukaryota; Viridiplantae; Streptophyta; Magnoliopsida; Poales; Poaceae. The record is from RNAcentral.